RNAcentral lists this long non-coding RNA (451 nucleotides) under Salvator merianae (Argentine black and white tegu). RNAcentral's name for it is "lncRNA (ENSSMRG00000005026.1)". The record is from RNAcentral. Lineage: Eukaryota; Metazoa; Chordata; Lepidosauria; Squamata; Teiidae.
CAGCCUUGACAGUAACAGCGAAGGCUCAAGUAACAGCAUCUUGAAAUGUUUUUUCCGUCUCUAGAAUCAUUGACUCCUGCUAUACAAGUGUGUGAAAAAACUGAACCAGAAUAUGACUACAUUCCGUUUGCUAACGUGAGAAUGAGAAGGCCUCUGGAGAAGGAAAUGGAAGGAGAGCCAGUGCUGUACACUUUUGAAGAUGAAAAACCAACACGCUUGGGCAGAGGACACCUCAUCAUUUUUGCUGUUAUGCUGCUUUUAUCCUUGGUAAUAGCGAAAUCUGCUCUCGUGAUGGCGUGUCUUAGAUGAUCUUCUAAGAUAUAAAGUGCUUCCUGAAACUGAUGUCUGGAUUGGGUUAACUUACAUAGAGAAAGAAAAAAAGUGGAAGUGGGUGGAUGGCACAGAUUUAUCCUAUGAGUAAGUAUUUUUUUUAGUGAAUCAUCUUGUUGUU